This 467-nucleotide ribosomal RNA is filed under the name uncultured bacterium. Its description in RNAcentral is "bacterial SSU rRNA". It matches the Rfam family "Bacterial small subunit ribosomal RNA", at positions 328 to 792 of the family's 1533-position model. The record is from RNAcentral.
UUCCCAGACUCCUACGGGAGGCAGCAGUGAGGAAUAUUGGUCAAUGGGCGCGAGCCUGAACCAGCCAAGUAGCGUGAAGGAUGACUGCCCUACGGGUUGUAAACUUCUUUUAUAAAGGAAUAAAGUGAGGCACGUGUGCCUUUUUGUAUGUAUUUUAUGAAUAAGGAUCGGCUAACUCCGUGCCAGCAGCCGCGGUAAUACGGAGGAUCCGAGCGUUAUCCGGAUUUAUUGGGUUUAAAGGGAGCGUAGAUGGGUUGUUAAGUCAGUUGUGAAAGUUUGCGGCUCAACCGUAAAAUUGCAAUUGAUACUGGCAGCCUUGAGUACAGUUGAGGUAGGCGGAAUUCGUGGUGUAGCGGUGAAAUGCUUAGAGAUCAUACAGAACACCGAUUGCGAAGGCAGCUUACCAAACUAUAUCUGACGUUGAGGCACGAAAGCGUGGGUAGCAAACAGGAUUAGAUACCCGUGUA